Molecule: ribosomal RNA, 255 nt
Filed under: uncultured bacterium
Lineage: Bacteria
Description: partial 16S ribosomal RNA
Rfam family: Bacterial small subunit ribosomal RNA
Source: RNAcentral
UACAGAGGGUGCGAGCGUUGUUCGGAAUUACUGGGCGUAAAGCGCGCGCAGGCGGCCCUUUAAGUCUACCCGUGAAAUGCCGGAGCUCAACUCCGUGCACGCCGGGGGAUACUGGGGGGCUGGAGACAGGUAGAGGCAAGCGGAAUUCCGGGUGUAGCGGUGGAAUGCGUAGAUAUCCGGAAGAACACCUGAGGCGAAGGCGGCUUGCUGGGCCUGAUCUGACGCUGAGGCGCGAAAGCGUGGGGAGCAAACAGG